GGGGGUGGUGAGGCCCUGGCUCUGACGUUCACCCAGGAAGGCCAGAACCCCAGGGGACAGCAGCAUCCAUGUCAAUAGUGUUCCCAACCGCUCCCAGCCCAGCUUGGCCAGGGGGCGCCCUUCUCACCGUCAGGGCCCCUUUCUGCAAGUGCUUUUGUUUGGGUGUCUCUCAACCCGUUUGACCCACACGGAGAGGACCUGUGAGCCUUUCAGCACCAGGAGGCCCUUUGCCUCCCAUUCCUGGCAGGCCCCACCUGCUGGCCACAUGGGAUGUAGGACAUCAGUGUCCCCACUCAGGGGAGGGAGUGGAGGACAGCCUCCCUGCCAAGUGAGCAGAGCACCCAGACUCUCCCUCGGCGUGCAUGGCAGAGCAUCGACGCCAGAAGAGGAGCGAGGAAAAGACCAAAGAAGGAUAAUCGCUGGGCUUGAACAUCAAGGCUGAAGAUUGUGAUGCUCUUUUGGAAGAACGCUAUUUCAGAUGGGGUCUCUGGCUACUGACCAACCAAACCAUCCUGGUUUGUUGCUUCUAGAGUUCAGGAACCACCAGCAGCCUCCCCACCCCACUCCCUCUGCUCCAGACCCCGAGGCUCUUCCCAAGCAUGGUGAGGGUUCUGUUUGGACACCAUCUGCUCUGGAAGCCCAGGGGCUUGACUGGGCUCAUUUGCUGCUCCUGCCAUUUAGUGGCUCCCUAUGCACCCUUGGGUGUGGCUAAUCUAAUCUCUUAAACCUCAGUUUCCUCCUGGAAUUCUCCUGGGUGGUUGAGAGGAUUAAAGGAGAGGGUGCAAGGAAAGUGUUACCAGCAUAAGGCAGAGCUCAAAAUGGGGCAGUGACUUGUUAUUAUUACAGGACACCUGUACCUGAGACCUGGGCAGAUGAUUGAUGAGCAUUAACCUCCUCCGGUUCCGAAGUUUUAGCUUUGUUAGCACCUGCCUGAAUAGGGGUGCCUGCUGGUUUUGACAACGGGCCCUCAAGUCUCGAUGUGGGAUAGACGACCCCAGGGAAGACCAGAACGAGGUCACGCGUGGAGCCGGCCCUGAAGCUGACGUAUUCUUUCACAUGACACAGGCCAAAGAACCAAAAAAAGGCCAGAUGCGUGAGCUCAGUGCCUCCAAUCCUCUGGGGCUCUGCAGGGGCCACUUUUGCUGUAAGUCAUUUUUCCACGGCCCCUACACUCCCUCAACAAUCAAAAU
This is a long non-coding RNA of Lynx canadensis (Canada lynx), 1190 nucleotides long. RefSeq lists it as uncharacterized. The transcript is spliced from 3 exons. Lineage: Eukaryota; Metazoa; Chordata; Mammalia; Carnivora; Felidae. The record is from RefSeq and is a predicted model, not a curated record.